Molecule: ribosomal RNA, 258 nt
Filed under: uncultured bacterium
Lineage: Bacteria
Description: partial 16S ribosomal RNA
Rfam family: Bacterial small subunit ribosomal RNA
Source: RNAcentral
GGCCUACGGGACGCAGCAGUGGGGAAUAUUGGGCAAUGGGCGCAAGCCUGACCCAGCAACGCCGCGUGAAGGAAGAAGGCUUUCGGGUUGUAAACUUCUUUUAUUCGGGACGAAGAAAGUGACGGUACCGAAUGAAUAAGCCACGGCUAACUACGUGCCAGCAGCCGCGGUAAUACGUAGGUGGCAAGCGUUAUCCGGAUUUAUUGGGUGUAAAGGGCGUGUAGGCGGGAAUGCAAGUCAGAUGUGAAAACUCAGGGC